This 589-nucleotide unclassified non-coding RNA is filed under the name Nilaparvata lugens (brown planthopper). RNAcentral describes it as "krueppel-like factor 6, transcript variant X2". The record is from RNAcentral. Lineage: Eukaryota; Metazoa; Arthropoda; Insecta; Hemiptera; Delphacidae.
GUUGUUGUUCGAAGUGGAUACUCGUCUGCGAAAUAAGUGUGUUGCCUGGUGUUUGUUUGGAACUGGGAGAUGAAGUCCUCCAGGCUGUUGAUAUCUCGCAUCCGGCUCUGGAAAAACAUCAGCGGCUCGCCGAGUAGUAGACUGGAUAAUUGGAAACGCCACAUUAACCAAGAGGUGGGUGUCAGUUCUUGAACGGCUCUUAUUUGGUCCACAAAUGGUUUGGGUUGCAUGUGACGGUAGGAAUUAUCAAAUUUUCCAAGAUUUUGGAAAGGUUGAGUGCUAUUUACUGGUUCAAUCGGUAUAUAAUGUAUUCUGCUGGCUGGAAUAUUUUCCAUGGAUGUCGCUAGUCUGGAGACUCUUUCCUCACUUGCGGUCCAUUUAUCAUCUAUAGUUUUUAUGUUCUCCUUCACUUCGCCAUAUAAUGUGGUUAUCUUUAGUUGUUGUCCGACUACGGCAUUUUCUAAUACAUCGCAUCUCUCACCUGAUUUCGCCCCCUCCCCCGUUAAGUUCGCUAUACCUAUCAGCACGUCACUUUGUUCUUUAGUUAUUAUUUCCAUUCUAUUGACAUUUUCACCCAUCUUCGAUUCUA